GCCCACUGAUAGUAUUAAAGGGCCGCAGUAUUUUGACUGUGCGAAGGUAGCAUAAUCAAUAGUCUUUUAAUUGGAGGCUUGUAUGAAUGGUUGAAUGAGAUAUAUACUGUCUUUUUUAAAUUUUUAUAGAAUUUUAUUUUUUAAUUAAAAAGUUAAAAUGUAGUUAAAGGACGAGAAGACCCUAUAGAUCUUUAUUUUUUUUAAUUAUAAAUUAAAAAGAAUAAUUAAAUUUAUAAUUUAAUAAAAAAUUUUGCUGGGGUGGUAUUAAAAUUUAAAUAACUUUUAUAAUUUAUUUACAUUAAUAUAUGAAUAAUUGAUCCAGUUUUAUUGAUUAAAAAAUUAAGUUACCUUAGGGAUAACAGCGUAAUUUUUUUUUAGAGUUCAUAUCGACAAAAAAGAUUGCGACCUCGAUGUUGGAUUAAGAGUUAUUUUUAGGUGUAGAAGUUUAAAGUUUAGGUCUGUUCGACCUUUGAAUUCUUACAUGAUCUGAGUUCAAACCGGCGUGAGCCAGGUUGGUUUCUAUCCUUAAUAAAAUUAUUAUAUUAUAGUACGAAAGGACCUAGUAUAAAAAAUAUAGAUUUUAAAGUUAUGAAUAAUAUUAAUAUUUAAUAAACUAUUUUGGCAGAUUAGUGCAAUAAAUUUAGAAUUUAUUUAUAUAAUUUAAUUAAUUAUAAAUAGUAUUGUUUUUUAUAGAUUAUUUAUUAUCAUUAAUUGGAAGUUUAUUAUUAGUUAUUUGUGUAAUAGUUGGGGUUGCUUUUUUAACUUUAUUAGAGCGUAAGGUUUUAGGCUAUAUUCAAAUUCGU
Molecule: ribosomal RNA, 803 nt
Filed under: Aedes japonicus
Lineage: Eukaryota; Metazoa; Arthropoda; Insecta; Diptera; Culicidae
Description: partial 16S ribosomal RNA
Rfam family: Bacterial large subunit ribosomal RNA (bases 1-567)
Source: RNAcentral